This 253-nucleotide ribosomal RNA is filed under the name uncultured bacterium. RNAcentral describes it as "partial 16S ribosomal RNA". It matches the Rfam family "Bacterial small subunit ribosomal RNA", at positions 524 to 776 of the family's 1533-position model. The record is from RNAcentral.
AACGUAGGUUCCGAGCGUUAUCCGGAUUUACUGGGCGUAAAGCGCGUUCAGGCGGUUUGGCAAGUCGGGCAUGAAAUCUCUGGGCUCAACCCGGAGAGGUUGUCCGAUACUGCUAAACUGGAGGGCAGUAGAGGGUGGUGGAAUUCCGGGUGUAGUGGUGAAAUGCGUAGAGAUCCGGAGGAACACCAGUGGCGAAAGCGACUUUCUGGUCCUUAACUGACGCUGAGGCGCGAAAGCAUGGGGAGCGAACGGG